CGCAACCUUCUUGGUGUCCAUUAGAUGGAUCCUACCAUUCUUUCACUUACAGCUCGACCAGUCUCCGAGGUAGGUUGCCAUACGCUGUGAGCCCUGUUAUCCCGGCCCAACCGAAGCAACUGAGGUCAGCCCAUGCGAGGUGUCUUAGGCUAACUUGCCGAGAUGGUUCGCUUACUCAGCGCCAAGGUAUCGCUUGAAGGCCACGUGUCGUGAUGUAAUUUAGAGGACCAAAUUACCUCUCAUCAAUUAACCCCCACUUCCGAGCCUUCGUCAGCUCGACGAAGGGAAUAGCUCUUAAUAAGGUAAUUGGUUCGACUGGUUCGUAGGUUGCUCGGCUCGCUCACCUGAUCCGGUCUGAGACUGGGCGGGAUCACGGUAGAUUUCAAAUUUCGAAUUCAAAAGGAGGGCACGCACAGUGAGCGCACAAAGUUUAAAUUCAAAAUAGCCCGCACGCGUCGUCGUCGUCUCGAUCGUCGAUCUGCUAUCAACGCAUCCCAACCGUUGGCCAUUCUUCCCAGUGGACUAUAAAUAUGGGGUCCCCACUGAGGCCUCACUCACACUGUUUUUGGAUUUUUCUCUGAGGAGGAGGAUGACCGAUCUGAGAAGGUCUCAGUUGAGGUGUUGUUGUCUACUAGCCUGUUGAAACUUUGUUCGUCUCCGGUUCCGGUUUCCUUUGUCUCGUUUACCCGGUGAGUAGCUUCCUCUAUAAAUGUCUUUUGAUCCUUCAAAGGGUAGAUCGCUGGACUAUAGGUGGGUAGGAUGGGAGGGAAUCUUUGGGAGAGGAUUCUCAGGGAGAGUCUUCUGCGUCUGAGCUAGGGGUAGGAGUAGAGGUCCGAACAGCGGAAUCCCCUUUUGAUCCUUACGAGCUCUCUAGUGAGCGUAUAAUAGAGCUGUAUAGUACUUAUCAAAUACCUGCCGAUUUUGACUGUAUCUAGCCUGGCCCUAACGAGUAUCCCUAGAGUCAUGGCCAAGACACGGUCUGUGUCUUUGAGGAGACGCUAGUUGCCGGUCUUUGUUUUCCCUUGCACCCUUUUAUUCUUGCGAUGAUCUCGCAUUACGAUGUCUCCUUAGGUCAGCUACACCCCAAUGUAGUUCGAACUCUGGUAGGGCUGAUUUCUUUGUGUCACCACCACAACUUCCCCUUGGAUUUAGAUGUUUUCUCCGGGCUGUGCUCUAUGAAAAAGGUCCCCAAUGUUCCCUACUGUUUUUACCUUCCCUUCCGUAGCGGCUAUAAGAUGCUAGUUGACUUUCCCUCCAAAGUUAAAGAUUGGAAGAAUAGGUACUUCUUCCUUUCUCAUAGUAAUUGCUGGAAUAUGGAUACUGUAUUGCGGAGGGAUUGCCGAAGUUUCAAUGUAAAGUUCGAUGGAGAGAUACGACUUGCAGUUCAACACUUUGUUCGCCGGAAGUUUCUAGUAGAGAACCUUUUGGCCGAGCGUAUGCUCAUACAGGCCAGCUUGAGUCACGUAGAUAUGGCGACCAUGGAGUCACUUUUGGUGGCAUCUAAGAAGGCGGCUUCGAGGAAGAAGUGAAGGGCUGACUAUUCGUCGAUGGAGGGCACCUCGACCAGUGCCGAGGUGAGGUCGUUGUCGCUCGCUCACUUCCGUCGUCGACCUCGAGGGAGGCGGCGACCCUAUGAGUACCGACUGGGACGAUAUGGGCCCUGCUGCCUUUCAACCUCAAGUCGUCCAAGAGGAACAUGCCGCCGGUCCUUACACCUCCGACAUAACUCGCUUCGUCCCGAAUGUUGACGUCUCUAUGAUCGAUCGCCUGAACGACCCAUAUGUAGCUCUUUGGAUGGGAAGGGGCAUGCGGCUUCCGGAAGAUGUGCGGUAUUACUGCGGUUUGGACCUAGCCGACGUUGGAACUCGGAUGACUCGUUGUAUACUUUAGGUGAACACCAUGGGACAGGUACUGUUGGAUCAGGUCGCCUUAGGCCGGAGAGAGAAGGCCGAGCUGUAGUCUAGUGUUGACGCACUGUAGUCUCAGAUGCGAGAAAUCCAACUAAGCGCCGAGGAGGACUGCCAGUGAUUCAUCAAGCUGAGCGGAAAGAUGUAGUGCAAGUUGGACGAGGCUCGGGAGACCAUUGCUGCCCAGGAGUGCCGAUUGGAAGAGAGGCGGACUAAGUAUAUAGAGGAUAUCUGCCAAGUAGAAUUGGCAGCCGUUGAUCGUUUCCGUGACUCCCCUGAAUAUGCCCAGGAGAAGGUGGAGAAUGCAAUCCCUGCGAUGCGAAAGGGAUUUAAGCUUUGUUGUCGCUACUUGAAGACGCUUCAUCCUGAUUUUGACUUCGACACUUUUCUCUGUCAACGACAUGCCAAAUGAGCUUGUUGUGCAAGUUGAUGGGGAGCCCUUGACUCCUAAUGAGGAUGAGGAAGUAGCUGGAGCAGAAGAGGGCGAGGAGGGUGACGAUGUCGAUGACGAGCUGCAAGGUGGUGGCGAGGAGUAGAUCGGCCUUGUUGGUUUCUCUUCUUCUGUUGUUUCUGGGAGCUUGUGAGCUCCUGUAAGUUGAUGUUUCUUAGGCCUCCGUGCUCAUAAUGUUGAACUUUC
This is a long non-coding RNA of Nelumbo nucifera (sacred lotus), 2544 nucleotides long. RefSeq lists it as uncharacterized. The record is from RefSeq and is a predicted model, not a curated record. Lineage: Eukaryota; Viridiplantae; Streptophyta; Magnoliopsida; Proteales; Nelumbonaceae.